CAAAAACGGGAGGAAAUAAUCGUUCUACCAAUUUCUUAUUUGUGGCGAUAGUCGUCCUUGCGACGAGUAUUGUUAUCCAAGCUGGUCUGAUCGAAAAGCGUCGCUACGCUAAAGUCGAUCUAGCCAAAUGCAACAUCUUCAAUGUUGGAAAGCAAUUAGAGCCUGAAAAGAAGGGGGACUUGAUCACAUACUGUAACUGCACGCAAACCAUGAUUCUAAUUUUCAGAAAGCAGUGCGUAGAAUAUCAAGAGAUUUCGGAUGAUGAUAACACAACCUCGACUAGACAAGCGUCAUCCAGCACGACUGUGAGGACUUGGAGGCCACCAACUACAACCAGAGUCAGUUCUACUACUACGCAGAGAACUACUACAAGCUUCCCAACGUCUGAAAGAUCUACAACAACCUUCCCAACUUCAACAACAAGCUUUCCUACCUCUGAAAAGUCAACGACAAGUUUCCCAACCACUGAGGAACCUACAGAUUUCACGACGACCACACACUAGCUGCGACCACGCAACCACCAGUCACCAGUAGUGAGAGCUGUACGCCGCGCGGUCCGGGAGGGCUUCGUUCCGCUCUCCCAUGAUGAAAGAGCAGAUCUUCGUCCAAGGCCACUGGUACAAUAAGGACGGUACAACCAACAAAGGCUUCGAAACAUCGCAAAAUGUCGCCUCAGCACAAUCUGCCUUUGAGCAGUGCAAGUAUCACGACAAUUCUACUGGCUGUGAUAAAAAGUGGUCUCAGCGAUACUGGGUCAACAUGCAAUACUAUAAGCCCGGAGGUCCCAUAUUUUUAGAAAUUGCAGGGGAAUGGGAUGCGGAGCACGAUAUUAAUGGUGGCUACUGGUAUAACUAUGCCAACAGAUAUAACGCAAUGCUGGUUGUGUUAGAGCAUAGAUUCUACGGACAAAGUUCCCCCGUUAACAAUCCGAAUGUGAGCGAUCUUUGUUUAAUGACUAGUCAGCUGGCACUAGCAGAUGCUGCUUAUUUCAUUGACGUUUAUUCGGCUCAGAACCAGCUACAGGAUGCUGAUUGGGUUUCAUUUGGUUGUUCGUACAGGGCAAAUUUAGCCGCUUGGAUGAAACUUAAAUACCCCAACCACGUGAAGGCUGCUGUGUCGUCUUCCGGACCAGUUGAAGCGGUUUACGACUAUCUUGGUGAUUUAAAGUAAUCGAUUGGUCAUCAUUUGUACUAAUUUGUCCCGUUAAACCUUAGGGUACACUCGGUGGUUUCUGAAGUCAUCCGAGAAACAGAUCGAGGAUUCUUCGAUUACCUGAGCCAAACUUUCAGCUGUAUGGAGAGCUUAACCAAUGGAAGUAAGCCAAAUUGUGAAAAAUACACAUCAGGCCAACAGAUGCAGAAACCCAUCCAAUAUUGUAGAAGCGUAGAUUGGGCUGGAAACAGUUAUAGCAAGCAACAAUUUUAUAAUCAUCAGACAUUUCCUCCAUGGGCAAGUAAUUGGCCUGGUGGCAAGGCUAGGUUGGGCGUGGCAAACUUGCAAUGAAUUCGGUUUCUUUGUCUUCAGACCCAGAAUUAGGAACCUUUGGCAGGAAUACGUUCUCUGGAGACGUGUACGGUGCAGGAUGCAAGAAGUUUGGGACAAAGUAUACACUAAAAUAUGUUGAAGGUCAAAUUGCUAAAUCCAAUGCGUAUUAUGGUGGUAAAAAUUUUAACUCCAAGUGCGUUAUUUUCGUCCAUGGAACUUGGGACCCGUGGCAUACUCAAGGAGUUACCACACCAAAAGCGUAUAACACUGUUGUACUUGUUCCAGGAACUGCGCAUUGUUCAGAUACUUCGAAUCCAACGAAUGCCGCAAUGACUGCUGCACAGCAAACAAUCAUGACACAAAUUGGGACAUACUUAAAUGAUCCUAAUUGUUAAGGUGACACGGCUUGAAAAAUUAGUUUAUCAUCAAUAAAAAAUAAUAGUUUAUCAGCAUCAACACUGA
This is an RNA transcript of Folsomia candida, 1947 nucleotides long. RefSeq lists it as uncharacterized. The transcript is spliced from 10 exons. NCBI's taxonomy places the organism in Eukaryota, Metazoa, Arthropoda, Collembola, Entomobryomorpha, Isotomidae. The record is from RefSeq and is a predicted model, not a curated record.